CGCCAUCCUAGAUCGACCCCGACGCCUCGAACCUCUGCCCUUUCCCCCAUGUCCGUGCCAUCUGCUGUUGCCUGGCGCGGAUGUCCCGGCCUCUCCGGCGGUCCGUCCAGAUUUCGAGCCCGCACUAUUCCGGUCGGUCUAAGGAUCAGCCACUGCAAACCUCUGCAUCCCCAUUGCCCGUUGCCGUUGGAAUGCCCCUCCCUCUCUCCCAGUUCCCUGCUGCAUGUAGUGCUUCAGAGCAUUCCUCUCUUUCUCCCUUCAGAGCAAGAGCCAUUGAGAUUAUUUUAAUCCUUAGGUUUAGAUGGAUAAUAUUUUUUCUGAUCCCAUUGCAAAUCAGUUUGCAAUCAAGCAUUUUACUAGUAUAUUGUGAUGGAAUGUGUGGUAGUACUCCCAUCUGUCCAUUUGUCUCCAGAGCUUUCAAUUCAAUAUUUGAAUACAGGCAUGUACUGAUGUAAUUCGGUUGCUGUUGUUUUGGGCCGUGAGUUGCAUGUUAUAUCAUAGCAUAUCAUUACUAGUAUGACUGUA
Molecule: long non-coding RNA, 525 nt
Organism: Brachypodium distachyon (stiff brome)
Lineage: Eukaryota; Viridiplantae; Streptophyta; Magnoliopsida; Poales; Poaceae
Exons: 2
Source: RefSeq, a predicted model, not a curated record